GACGGAGGGUGCAAGCGUUAUCCGGAUUUAUUGGGUUUAAAGGGUGCGUAGGCGGCUUAGUAAGUCGGUGGUGAAAACUAGCAGCUCAACUGUUAGAUUGCCAUUGAUACUGCUAGGCUUGAGUAUAGUCGAGGUGGGCGGAAUUCUACAUGUAGCGGUGAAAUGUAUAGAUAUGUAGAGGAACACCAAUAGCGAAGGCAGCUCACUAGGCUAUUACUGACGCUGAGGCACGAAAGCGUGGGGAGCAAACAGG
This 253-nucleotide ribosomal RNA is filed under the name uncultured bacterium. Its description in RNAcentral is "partial 16S ribosomal RNA". It matches the Rfam family "Bacterial small subunit ribosomal RNA", at positions 524 to 776 of the family's 1533-position model. The record is from RNAcentral.